This 678-nucleotide long non-coding RNA is filed under the name Medicago truncatula (barrel medic). Its description in RNAcentral is "long non-coding RNA (MTRU_LNC008873)". The record is from RNAcentral. Lineage: Eukaryota; Viridiplantae; Streptophyta; Magnoliopsida; Fabales; Fabaceae.
GAGAAAAGGCUCCACCCCUCCACUCAUAUAGAGAACGUUUAUACCCAGAGUAUCUAGCGAAGAACCACUUCUAGGAGAGGAAUUGAAUCCUAUCCACUAGAAGCCCGACUUCCACCGGUUUUCGCCGCAAAAAUAAAAUCAUUGUGGGCAUUCCAGAGGGUCCAUAGAGUUGAAUGUCAGAUCAAAUUAAGACAACGCCUAAUCCUAGCACUCCCAUCUAAAGACAGAAACAACUGAAAAAUACCAAGCACGCUCUCCGGAAAAACCUACUCCCAACCCAGCCACCAACAAACACUAUACCAUAUCCUAGAAGCAAUUGAACAAAGAACAAAAAUAUUAUCUAUCGAUUCUUUCCCUCCCUCACAGAGACCACAUAACAAAGUAGUCGGGUCCUAGACAGGGAUAACCCCGGAGGAAAAGAGAUUUUUUUUUGGUUGAAAGACGAUUGAGAAGUAACUUCGAAGCAAAAACCUGAAGCAUGGACGGGGUCCAACUCUUCCAAGACAAAGAUAAUGCAAUCACCACCUCCACGAGCCUCUCACCUUCCAACAAAAAUGGCUUAGCCAACACUACAUAUGAUGACCUAACCACCUACUAGUAAUCUGGGUUGAUGUUGUUAGGAUGAUAAUAGAGUGUUAUACUCAUUAAUCCUUUUCCAAAUCUCUUCCUUCUUAUUGG